This 1367-nucleotide ribosomal RNA is filed under the name uncultured beta proteobacterium. RNAcentral describes it as "bacterial SSU rRNA". It matches the Rfam family "Bacterial small subunit ribosomal RNA", at positions 29 to 1394 of the family's 1533-position model. The record is from RNAcentral. Lineage: Bacteria; Pseudomonadati; Pseudomonadota; Betaproteobacteria.
UUGAACGCUGGCGGCAUGCCUUACACAUGCAAGUCGAACGGCAGCACGGGUGCUUGCACCUGGUGGCGAGUGGCGAACGGGUGAGUAAUACAUCGGAACAUGUCCUGUAGUGGGGGAUAGCCCGGCGAAAGCCGGAUUAAUACCGCAUACGAUCUACGGAUGAAAGCGGGGGACCUUCGGGCCUCGCGCUAUAGGGUUGGCCGAUGGCUGAUUAGCUAGUUGGUGGGGUAAAGGCCUACCAAGGCGACGAUCAGUAGCUGGUCUGAGAGGACGACCAGCCACACUGGGACUGAGACACGGCCCAGACUCCUACGGGAGGCAGCAGUGGGGAAUUUUGGACAAUGGGCGAAAGCCUGAUCCAGCAAUGCCGCGUGUGUGAAGAAGGCCUUCGGGUUGUAAAGCACUUUUGUCCGGAAAGAAAUCCUUGGCUCUAAUACAGUCGGGGGAUGACGGUACCGGAAGAAUAAGCACCGGCUAACUACGUGCCAGCAGCCGCGGUAAUACGUAGGGUGCGAGCGUUAAUCGGAAUUACUGGGCGUAAAGCGUGCGCAGGCGGUUUGCUAAGACCGAUGUGAAAUCCCCGGGCUCAACCUGGGAACUGCAUUGGUGACUGGCAGGCUAGAGUAUGGCAGAGGGGGGUAGAAUUCCACGUGUAGCAGUGAAAUGCGUAGAGAUGUGGAGGAAUACCGAUGGCGAAGGCAGCCCCCUGGGCCAAUACUGACGCUCAUGCACGAAAGCGUGGGGAGCAAACAGGAUUAGAUACCCCUGGUAGUCCACGCCCUAAACGAUGUCAACUAGUUGUUGGGGAUUCAUUUCCUUAGUAACGUAGCUAACGCGUGAAGUUGACCGCCUGGGGAGCACGGUCGCAAGAUUAAAACUCAAAGGAAUUGACGGGGACCCGCACAAGCGGUGGAUGAUGUGGAUUAAUUCGAUGCAACGCGAAAAACCUUACCUACCCUUGACAUGGUCGGAAUCCCGCUGAGAGGUGGGAGUGCUCGAAAGAGAACCGGCGCACAGGUGCUGCAUGGCUGUCGUCAGCUCGUGUCGUGAGAUGUUGGGUUAAGUCCCGCAACGAGCGCAACCCUUGUCCUUAGUUGCUACGCAAGAGCACUCUAAGGAGACUGCCGGUGACAAACCGGAGGAAGGUGGGGAUGACGUCAAGUCCUCAUGGCCCUUAUGGGUAGGGCUUCACACGUCAUACAAUGGUCGGAACAGAGGGUUGCCAACCCGCGAGGGGGAGCUAAUCCCAGAAAACCGAUCGUAGUCCGGAUUGCACUCUGCAACUCGAGUGCAUGAAGCUGGAAUCGCUAGUAAUCGCGGAUCAGCAUGCCGCGGUGAAUACGUUCCCGGGUCUUGUACUCACCGCC